RNAcentral lists this long non-coding RNA (279 nucleotides) under Lathyrus oleraceus (garden pea). Its description in RNAcentral is "Pisum sativum (pea) long non-coding RNA (PSAT_LNC027055)". Lineage: Eukaryota; Viridiplantae; Streptophyta; Magnoliopsida; Fabales; Fabaceae. The record is from RNAcentral.
GAACUUAAUGAAAACUGGCUGUGAAAGUUUGGGUACAAAACAUGUUUAAGUCACCUUUGAAAAGUUUCACCAAAAGCAAGCAUCUUCAAGCCCCUCUGUUUCUAUGAUACAAGCUUCAAAUGAAAAAACCUCCAACAUCAAAGUUGUAUGUAUUUUCAAGAUGAUCAAUUUAGACUCAAAUUUUGCAUCAUUUUGAUUUUUCAUGAGAAAGUUAUGGGCACUUGAAGUUGGACAUUUUUCAAAUUCAAUGUCUUAGGUCCAAAGUGACCUAUAAUGUUU